Apodemus sylvaticus (European woodmouse) is the source of this 779-nucleotide long non-coding RNA. RefSeq lists it as uncharacterized. Lineage: Eukaryota; Metazoa; Chordata; Mammalia; Rodentia; Muridae. The transcript is spliced from 3 exons. The record is from RefSeq and is a predicted model, not a curated record.
ACCUCUUCCCUAGAGGUCUUUAAAAAUAGCAUUGGUAAACACAUAGCCACUGCUGUGGCUAUGUCCAGAAGAAGAAGUAAAGAAUGAAAAGACUUCCCCCAUGCCUGGCCCAAGCCCCCCGAGCUUCCCAGGGAGGACAGCAGGAGCCUCUAAGUCCAGAACCUCUUGGCAGGGAAGAAGCAUCCAGGAUCGGGAGCAAAAUAAUGAGCCAACACUGAAGGAAAUGCCACCCUGCUUCAGCCAUCAGGACCUAGGACCGGAGAGUGAAGGUGGUCGAUACAUGGAAAAAUGGAUUUAAAGGAACAUUUCAAGGACACAGUGCUGUAGCUGGAAAGUCAGGUCCAUCAACAUGUGAAGUAUCAGGAAGAAUGGAAGGAGGGAAAUUCUUGGAAGCCUUGAUGUUCUUUACUGAGGCAUGGAAGGAAUGAAGGGUCCCCACUGAGAUUGCAAAGGAGAACAGGAUGAACUGGGCUCCUGUGUGUCAGCUCCUUUUCUACAGCUGCCUGGAAUGCUGUUCCCCCAGAUACCUUGGCCUACUCCCUCACCUCUGUGGUGAAGCCUCCCUGACCUGGCUCUUUAAAUUGCAAUCCACACCUCUCCACAGCACUCCCUGUUUUGCCCCCUUAAACUCUUCCUACACCUCCUUUUUCUUUCACAAGAAGAUUUGCUAUCCAACAAAUAUGCUAUAAAUAUAUGCACUUACUUUGCAUGUGCAUUGUUUCCUGUGCCCCUGCCAAAGCACUCGAGUGUAAAUUCUAUAAAGGGCUAUGUCUUUAUUC